This 4692-nucleotide long non-coding RNA is filed under the name Gallus gallus (chicken). Lineage: Eukaryota; Metazoa; Chordata; Aves; Galliformes; Phasianidae. The record is from RNAcentral.
AAACAAGGGGCGCGGGGACACGUGGACCCGCGCCGCUGGGCGCCCGCGCCGCGCAGGAGGAGCCGCCCGGAUCUGCGAGGAGCGGAGCCCGACCCGGCCGCCCCCGCUGGGCGAGGGCUCCAGAGCGCCCUCGUCCCUUCCCGGAGCUCGGGCCGGCGCUGGGUGCCUGCCCUUAACGAACCCGCACCGCCAGCGGGUGCGGCCCCGGCGGGAGGCGGCCGGCGCAGGGCGGCGUGAGUCAGCGCGAUUAGCCCUCGGAAGGGCCCCACCGCCCCGCGCGGCUCGGAAAUAAUCCGCGGUAUUCUAAACAGCUGAGAGAGAGUUUCAAAAUUAUGCAAUUUUGGGGCUUUCCAAGGAGAUCAUUGUGGGUUUUUUUUUUUGUUUUUUUUUUUUGUGCUGUUUCCAACAUCCUCCCCAUCUGCCGAGCUGCUCCCAAAUGGCGCUGGAGUCCCGUGGCAGUUCGGUAGUUCUGACUUUCGGGUAUGCCCGCGGUUGGUCGGGAACGUAAACAACAACAAAAGGUAUUUACACAACGUAAAGAGAAAGGAGUCCUUAAGCGGCGGCCGCUGGGAGCUGUACGUCCCGUGGAAGGCGCUGACAGCGGCCGCCAGAGGGAACGCUGCGCUUACUGUCACCACGGAAGGCUUCUGCAGUGCAAAAGAACGCUCCGAUCGUUGUUGGCCAUCAACGCGCACAGCGCAGACCGCCGGGCAGCCCGAGGCUCGGCCUCUCCUGCAGGCGAUCCUGGUAGCCGUACCGCUCCGCUCUGUGGGCACCGAAGGGACGCGGCUCCCAAAGCACGGCGGAACCGGGCAGCACUGCAUGUAGGUGUGCGAGAGCUGAGCUGACAGAAGGAAAGCCGACCUCGGGCUAUUGAACUCGAAAAUCCUCUGCGCUUAACUACGCAACAGAAGAACCCUUUGCGGGUCAUUGUCCCAGUUUGAGAACGCAGUGAUUUGAGCAAAUGGAGCUUUGGCAGAAGACUUGUGGAUACACGGGUGUCUCCACUCUGCAGACAGGCUACAAAGCCUGUGCAACUGCCACUUGCAAAGCAGAAUUCCCAUUCACUCCCCUGCGUAUCCCAGUGGGAAAGGAGUGGCACGCACAGGCCAGAUUGAGUGGCAACAGAAGAUACCAGAUGGUGUUUUGGGAAAAGACUUUCUGCCCCAAGGCUAACACCUGGCUGUGGAGCACGUUCCCACCCCACUAAGUGCUUUUUCUACCCACUUCUCAGUCUAGUUGUAAAAUACAUUGGCUGUGAGGGUUCACAGUUAUUUAGAAAAACUUGUGCAUAAAUGCCACAUGCAAAGCACAGUCCUUCGAGAUCCACUGGCCCAGAUUCAAGAGACAAGUAAAUAUCACUGCUGAAUUAGUGCCUCAGUAUCACACUUACCACCUUACAAAGAGCACAACAAUGGGAAUCCUACUUAGGAUCUGGAUUAGAACUCCAUAAAUAUGAGAGUCUGAAUUGUUUGUAAGAUUCGAGAACCAGAAACAUAGCAGCUUCCUUGUUUUCAAAUCUGCCUUUUCUUCUUUGCAUAUGGAAAGUUUACUCAGAGAAAAUGAGUAAGAGGACAGAUAUUGCAUGCAGUAGAUGGCAGCAAAACACAGAGAACCUUAUCAAAGAUUAACUACUAGCCCCCCUGCCGGGUUGAAGUCAAAUAUCCUCAAACGUCCAGGUGAUGAUGUCAAUCCCAUACUCCUUGCUCUGCAUAUCUAGGCUGUAAUUAAAUCAUUGCUCCAUGCACACGCCCUGCCUCACCUUACACCAUGCUCCGAAUGAAUGAGUGCUCAGGGAAUGAAUCAAUGCUGUGCAACACCAAUGUUGUUGUAGCUUUGCUGAUUCAGCUGCUUUUGCUGUUUUAAGAGAGGCAGGUGAUAACAUGGGGGAUUGCGAAGUCUUAAUUGGGAAUUCUCAUCACCUUAUCCAGGGAUAGCUACCAAGAAGCACAAAUAACCAAGAAUGACUCCAAACAAACAGAAAAUGAUACAGAUAAAUUUACAUUCACCCUCACUGUCUUACCUAGUUAUUUAUUUCUGAACAUGUCCAGCCUCAAAGUGGUGAAACCACAAGGUAGAUUAAAUAAUAAUAAAAGAUUAGUCAAAGUCAUACUAGUUGCUUAAGAAACACACCAUGUGACUCCACAAGGACAGAACUGGGAGGAGAAGAGUAAGGUACAGCUUGGUGAAAGCUGCACUGCCUUUUCCAAACAUGGCAUUUAUCAAAACGGAGUUUCCAGCAUCUUCAGAGGUGUGGGCAGCACAUCUCAGGGACUCACGUGGUCAUGAGGGAAUUACUCCUCCACACAGCACAGCCUGCACACAGAGUACAAUCUCCUCCCAGAACCUCACAGCUGCUCAGAUGAAAUAAUUCAACACUUCGGAAGAAGAAAGGACAAAGCAUACAUAGCACGCCACAAUGCUAUUUUUAGUCUGUCCUGAUUUCAUUUACCUCAAUAAGAAGAGAUUGAGUCAGCACAUCCUGUCAGAAUUGCCUAGUAUAUGUAACUCCUGUUGGGAGUUUUUCACACUGCUUUGGUUGGGCAGUGUUUCCUUUGUGUAACAGUUUGGCCUUUUCCCUGUAUGACAUACACAGUUCUAAGAAGGAAACACAGCCAAUGGCAGCGCCAUUGCUGCUCUCCAGCUCUGCUGGAUUUGUCAUGAUAGAAGGGACAGGAACAGGGACAAGGAGGAGAGUCACUGCCCAGUCAGCCAGGCACUGCAUCCCAGCACAGACCCAACAGCCAUUGCAGUUCUGCCACUGCCUCUUUGCCUGGCUGUUGGAAUAAAGGUCAUCUAGAAAGAGAUGGGGUGAAGGAAGAGACAAUGUUGAAAAUAUAACCACUUCUUUUUUUUUUUUUUUUAAAUCCUUUCAAGGUUAUUUAGCUCAUUUUGGUCCACCAAGAGAAGUGCCCAGCCUGUAAAUACCUGAGUCAAAAUGGGGAUGAAGAAUUUAGAAACAGUCUCGGUAUCUAUCUGAAGGAAAUCCAACUCUCAUUGGAUGUGGAUACAAUCCUAAGUUUUGUGAGGCAGCCAACACCACUGAUUCUAACACAUUCAACAUACAAAGAAGUGGGCAUCAGUUGUUGGGGCUGAGACCUCACAGUGCUGGUGCGGGGUCACAUUGGUGCUGUGCAUCAGUCAGUGGGUGGUGAGUAAUUGCACUGUGGCUAGAUGUAUUGUUAUCACUGCAUUUCUGUUUCCAUUUUCUUCUGCCCUGGUAAAUAGUUUUUAUAUAAAUAGACACAUUCUAUUUUGUUUCCAAUUCUCUCCCUCAUCCCAUUUGGGGAGCAGUGAACACACAGCCAUGUGGUGCUGAGCUGCUGCCAAGUUAAUCCACAAUGAAGCUGCAGAUGGUUCUUUAAUGCAUUUCAUAGCUUUGCCUCAAGACUUCUCUACUUCAGGAUCUCACACCGGAGGUGCAGCGACUGCACAAGACCUUGUCUCAGAUAAUCUCCUGAAGCACAAACAAAUGACAUUCAGAAACACUCAGAAAUGACACCAGGACCAAGGAGGCUUGGUUUCCUCAGGGUUUGAGUCUUGUGAUUGACUGGGGGCUGUGGUUGAAUGUCUAUUCCCAUGGUCAGUCAACAUUCAGUGCCAUGCACAUUCUCUUGUGCUUGGUAACAUGUCAGUUUGUGGCUGCCCUUCUCCAAUAGAAUUUAUCUCGGUUUUCCUUGCCCAGUAGAGCAAAUUUUCAACAAACUAAUUGGAGCAUUUAUUUUGUUAGCUUUCCUCAUUAGAACAUGACCAUUUGCCAAAUUUAUUUAAAUCAUCUGCAGAACUAGAUAAUCUUUGAGGUCUUUUUCAAUUCGGGCCAUUCUGUGAUUCUAUGAACUACAAAUUGCUGGUGAGGUUUGGGAACUGGGAGAGGAACAGAAUGUAGAUGCUGAGCCGAUGCCUCAGCCGCACUCCUUUAGCAACCAGACUACAAAGAUAACAUCCUGGUUUGGGGGUAUUACUUGACUCUAUUGGGAGUAUUGGUCAAGUCAUCUAAAUAUGGACAUAUACUCUCAUAACAUUGUUCAAAACUAUUAGAACUAUCUUUUUCUUUUUGAAAUGCCCCAGUAAUUGAAAGUUGGUGACUUGCUGUGAUUUCCUUUGUAAAAUGAAUUUUACAUUUACAUUACACAUUUCUGACACUAAGCCUGGCAAGUCUGAAGCACACACAUGACUAGAUCCAGGAGAAAUCCCAAAAGCUGACUUUUGAAAGAUACAGAUUUGUACCAAACUUACAAAGCGACAAUUUAUCACUGUUGGUAGUUCACCAACAAAGAAAAUUCAAGAAAUCAUCCAGUUCUCAGGAGCAACACAAAGACACUGCCUCAGCAGGAAGCUGUAAUUUGGGACCUAGAAAAUCUUAGUGUCUGAUUAUCUGAAAUUCGUCACUCCCCACUACCACAGCAUCUUCCCAGCUAUAUACUAAAGCAAAUCGUCCACUGCAAAGCAGCUAUGACAAAUACCAACACAUUGUCUACAGUGAGUAACCGGAGUAUGUACAUAACUUAGGAAAAUCAACAUGAACGUGUUAAGAAUUAUGAAUGUUUUAAUAAAUGAAUAUAAAUAGUUCACUUGCAACUUUAUAAUAAUGGAAUUAAAACACAACAAUAUCAAUAAACAUGUAUUUAUAUAUAUAAAAGUGUUGUUUAUUGUAAGGAAACUUUAAAUAUAACCAACAAUAUUGAAAAUAUC